AGGGAGAAGACCUGGUAGAUAGACGGCAGGUGCACGCCGGGUAACCGGUGCAGCUAAGCCGCCCUAAUGAUCGUACGGCUUGUUUCA
This 87-nucleotide ribosomal RNA is filed under the name Ktedonobacteraceae bacterium. Its description in RNAcentral is "partial 23S ribosomal RNA". It matches the Rfam family "Bacterial large subunit ribosomal RNA", at positions 2838 to 2925 of the family's 2925-position model. Lineage: Bacteria; Bacillati; Chloroflexota; Ktedonobacteria; Ktedonobacterales; Ktedonobacteraceae. The record is from RNAcentral.